Arabis alpina (gray rockcress) is the source of this 97-nucleotide small nucleolar RNA. It matches the Rfam family "Small nucleolar RNA R24". Rfam says of the family: snoR24 is a C/D box small nucleolar RNA which acts as a methylation guide for 18S ribosomal RNA in plants. NCBI's taxonomy places the organism in Eukaryota, Viridiplantae, Streptophyta, Magnoliopsida, Brassicales, Brassicaceae. The record is from Rfam.
UUAGAAUCCGCUUGGAAAGCUAACACAUAAGAAAAGGUCUCCUUUGUAGAGUACUUCUUGUAUGGAAUACAUUUGUUAUACUUGGCUUGUAAUCUAA